GAUGAACGCUGGCGGCGUGCCUAAUACAUGCAAGUCGAGCGAACGGACGAGAAGCUUGCUGCUGUGAUGUUAGCGGCGGACGGGGGAGUAACACGUGGAGAACCUACCGAUAAGACUGGGAUAACUUCGGGAAACCGGAGCUAAUACCGGAUAAUAUUUUGAACCUCAUGGUUCAAAAGUGAAAGACGGUCUUGCUGUCACUUAUAGAUGGAUCCGCGCUGCAUUAGCUAGUUGGUAAGGUAACGGCUUACCAAGGCAACGAUGCAUAGCCGACCUGAGAGGGUGAUCGGCCACAAUGGAACUGAGACAAGGCCCAGAAUACUACGGGAGGCAGCAGUAGGGAAUCUUACGCCAUGGGCGAAAGAAUGACGGAGCAACGACGCGUGAGUGAUGAAGGUCUUCGGAUCGUAAAAAUCUGUUAUUAGGGAAGAACAUAUGUGUAAGUAACUGUGCACAUCUUGACGGUACCUAAUCAGAAAGCCACGGCUAACUACGUG
RNAcentral lists this ribosomal RNA (497 nucleotides) under uncultured bacterium. RNAcentral describes it as "partial 16S ribosomal RNA". It matches the Rfam family "Bacterial small subunit ribosomal RNA", at positions 28 to 507 of the family's 1533-position model. The record is from RNAcentral.